UAAAAUUAAAAUUCUCAAGGCAAGAUGUAUUAGUUAAUUAAGCCUUAAUAUUUGGGACUUCACACUACAACAAAAUUAGGUUAUAGGGACACAUGUCUGGAACACUUUUGAGUAAGUGUCUGUAAGGACUGAGAUUUUUACAGUGCAACUAAACUCUCUGUUGAUGAUAUUUAUGUGUGUAAUUUAAUUAUAUAAGCACUCGUCAAGUUUCAGGAGAAAAUGAGCUAAAAUGGAGAAGUUACGCGAUUAUUAGUUUUCACUUAACUGAAUAGUAACUCCAGUUUUCCGGAGAAGCCACGGAGUAGAGUUGGCUUUCGGCGCGUAUCGGACUCCGUUCAUAGUGAUCCAAUAGCUCGUUUUGAAC
RNAcentral lists this long non-coding RNA (364 nucleotides) under Ananas comosus (pineapple). Its description in RNAcentral is "long non-coding RNA (ACOM_LNC043237)". Lineage: Eukaryota; Viridiplantae; Streptophyta; Magnoliopsida; Poales; Bromeliaceae. The record is from RNAcentral.